GUGCUUGCUUUGGCAGCACAAAUACUAAGUUGGAAUGAUACAAAGAAAAUUAGCAUGGCCCAUGCACAAGGAUAACAUACACGUUUGCAAUAAGUUUAUAUUUUAA
This is a small nuclear RNA of Erinaceus europaeus (western European hedgehog), 106 nucleotides long. NCBI's taxonomy places the organism in Eukaryota, Metazoa, Chordata, Mammalia, Eulipotyphla, Erinaceidae. The record is from Ensembl.